GACGGGGCCCGCACAAGCGGCGGAGCAUGCGGAUUAAUUCGAUGCAACGCGAAGAACCUUACCAAGGCUUGACAUACACCGGUAACGCCCAGAGAUGGGUGCCCCUUUGUGGUCGGUGUACAGGUGGUGCAUGGUUGUCGUCAGCUCGUGUCGUGAGAUGUUGGGUUAAGUCCCGCAACGAGCGCAACCCUCGUCCUAUGUUGCCAGCGGGUCAUGCCGGGGACUCAUGGGAGACUGCCGGGGUCAACUCGGAGGAAGGUGGGGAUGACGUCAAAUCAUCAUGCCCCUUAUGUCUUGGGCUUCACGCACGCUACAAUGGCCGGUACAAAGGGCUGCGAUACCGCGAGGUGGAGCGAAUCCCAGAAAGCCGGUCUCAGUUCGGAUUGGGGUCUGCAACUCGACCCCAUGAAGUCGGAGUCGCUAGUAAUCGCAGAUCAGCAACGCUGCGGUGAAUACGUUCCCGGGCCUU
Molecule: ribosomal RNA, 469 nt
Filed under: uncultured Curtobacterium sp.
Lineage: Bacteria; Bacillati; Actinomycetota; Actinomycetes; Micrococcales; Microbacteriaceae
Description: bacterial SSU rRNA
Rfam family: Bacterial small subunit ribosomal RNA
Source: RNAcentral